GACGAACCUAGCGAACGUUGUUCGGAAUCACUGGGCUUAAAGGGCGCGUAGGCGGGUGCUCAAGUCCGUGGUGAAAUCCUCCGGCUCAACCUGAGAACUGCCUCGGAUACUGGGCGUCUCGAGUGUGGUAGGGGUAUGCGGAACUAUCGGUGGAGCGGUGAAAUGCGUUGAUAUCGAUAGGAACUCCGGUGGCGAAGGCGGCAUACUGGACCACCACUGACGCUGAGACGCGAAAGCGUGGGGAGCGAACAGG
This 253-nucleotide ribosomal RNA is filed under the name uncultured bacterium. RNAcentral describes it as "partial 16S ribosomal RNA". It matches the Rfam family "Bacterial small subunit ribosomal RNA", at positions 524 to 776 of the family's 1533-position model. The record is from RNAcentral.